Molecule: transfer RNA, 71 nt
Filed under: Candidatus Pacearchaeota archaeon
Lineage: Archaea; Nanobdellati
Description: tRNA-His
Rfam family: tRNA
About the family: Transfer RNA (tRNA) molecules are approximately 80 nucleotides in length. Their secondary structure includes four short double-helical elements and three loops (D, anti-codon, and T loops). Further hydrogen bonds mediate the characteristic L-shaped molecular structure. tRNAs have two regions of fundamental functional importance: the anti-codon, which is responsible for specific mRNA codon recognition, and the 3' end, to which the tRNAs corresponding amino acid is attached (by aminoacyl-tRNA synthetases). tRNAs cope with the degeneracy of the genetic code in two manners: having more than one tRNA (with a specific anti-codon) for a particular amino acid; and 'wobble' base-pairing, i.e. permitting non-standard base-pairing at the 3rd anti-codon position.
Source: RNAcentral
GUGGAUGUAGUCUAACGGUAUGAUUCGCGACUGUGGCUCGCGCGAAGAGGGUUCGACUCCCUCCUUCCACC